Anopheles arabiensis is the source of this 738-nucleotide long non-coding RNA. RefSeq lists it as uncharacterized. The transcript is spliced from 3 exons. The record is from RefSeq and is a predicted model, not a curated record. Lineage: Eukaryota; Metazoa; Arthropoda; Insecta; Diptera; Culicidae.
UUAAAAAACGAAUCGAUUCAUUAGCGGAUGAUUUAGCAACUUAGUGUUAUCAAAAAUGAAUUUCCGAAACUGGUUUUGCCGGUUGGAUCUUUGACACGACACACACACCCGUAUUCCAUCUCGGACACUGCCCACGUUGACAAUUACCUCAGCGUUGACAGGUAUGUUAUAAAAGGGGUUUAUUUAUUCUUCUUUUCUCUCUUUUUGUUACAGCGAAUACCAUUAAACGAAGCACCUGCACAAGAGAGCGUCCGACAUAACUCAAGCCAUGGGCAAGCAAUCUGGCAAUUUCCACUAAAGCCUGUGGGAAGCCAAAAAGUGCGGAACAUUCCAGUGCCAUAAUAUUGAUGCGAACAAAAAAGCGCCGAUACAGCGCGAAGCCGUUUCCGUUUGGAAAAUGGAACGUUUCUCCACCACAUAAGCACCCCACCGUUUUGUAAUCUGUUCUUCUUUAUCCUCUUGAUUUUCCGACGGACGGUCGGCUGUGCGAAGCGACUGAAGAAAAUCAUCUGAUCGACGCGGAACCCCAAUACGCAACGGCCUGUGUAGCAAUAGCGUUGGUUGUAUUGGUGUUAGGCGGUUUUUACACACCUAGCGUCAUAGCAAUCUUUGUAUGUGUUCGUAUCCGGCAACGGUGCAACGUAUCCAGUGCGCAUGCACCAGACCACACCACCAUCAAGUGGGUACAGAAAAACCUUUGCAGCAACCAACGCACACGCACACACAUGCACUGUUCCG